This is a non-coding RNA of Carica papaya (papaya), 769 nucleotides long. The record is from RefSeq and is a predicted model, not a curated record. NCBI's taxonomy places the organism in Eukaryota, Viridiplantae, Streptophyta, Magnoliopsida, Brassicales, Caricaceae.
GGGGCACCAAAAAUCCAUAUUUUCCGAAUUUAAAAAAUCUGUUUAGAAUUCGGAAUUCCGAACAUGAACGCAAAACCGACACCGUUUUUACGCCGAUUAGUGCUCGGACGCCUAUGAAGUCAAUGUUCGCAACAACACCGUGAAGAAAAGAAGUAGCUUGGUUCGAUUAUAAAAGCAACGCGCCUAAGUAAAGACCUCCUCUUCUCUACUUUCACAGAUCUUCUCUGUCUUUUCGAUCAAUUACCCAAUCCAUCAACUACGCAGAGAAGAUUGGAGUUUAAUUACAUAUAAUCAAUCAUGUUGAAUAGACUAUUUGGGAAACCUAAACAGGAGUCAAAUGCCCUCGCCACGUUAGACAAGUUAAACGAGACCCUCGAAAUGCUAGAGAAAAAGGAAAAAGUACUCCUGAAAAAAGCAGCAGCAGAGGUUGAAAAGGCUAAAGAAUUCUCAAGAACAAAAAAUAAAAGGGGUACUAAUGUAUAGAGAUUGUUUAAAGUAUUUCAGUCCUUUCUUUAUGUUAGUGGUUUUCUUUAAUGCUGUAUAUUCAAGAUAUUCAAUUAAUCCUUGCGCUUAUUAUUGUAUAUGGAUAAAUAGGAGUUACCUCCAUAAAGAAAGAAGAAAAAUAGAAGUACAGAAAUAUAUUGAAAUGGGGCGCCAAGAGGGUCCCAACCCAUAUACAAAAGGAGUUACAAGUCAAUUAAUAUAUUUACAAUUAACCCCAAAUCAUCAAAAUGGUUAAUGUUAUGUUCAAGCGCAAUAGAACCAAAAA